GUCCACGCCCUAAACGAUGCUUACUUGCUGUUCCUCUUUCGGGGGGAGUGGCGUAGGGAAACCGAUAAGUAAGCCACCUGGGGAGUACGCCCGCAAGGGUGAAACUCAAAGGAAUUGACGGGGGUCCGCACAAGCGGUGAGCAUGUGGUUUAAUUCGAUGAUACGCGAGGAACCUUACCUGGGCUAGAAUGUAAUUGGAAUAUGGAUGAAAGUUCAUAGCCCUUCGGGGCCGGUUACAAGGUGCUGCAUGGCUGUCGU
RNAcentral lists this ribosomal RNA (258 nucleotides) under uncultured bacterium. Its description in RNAcentral is "partial 16S ribosomal RNA". It matches the Rfam family "Bacterial small subunit ribosomal RNA", at positions 793 to 1055 of the family's 1533-position model. The record is from RNAcentral.